RNAcentral lists this long non-coding RNA (341 nucleotides) under Sorghum bicolor (sorghum). Its description in RNAcentral is "long non-coding RNA (SBIC_LNC011379)". The record is from RNAcentral. Lineage: Eukaryota; Viridiplantae; Streptophyta; Magnoliopsida; Poales; Poaceae.
UGUGUUUUUCGUUUUAUUUAUUUUCUUGUGUCACAUGUGAUGUGGCGUUGAAAAAGUAUAAAGAAGAUAAAAAACAGAAAAAAAAACUAUUAUUAAAAACAGAAAAAUCAUCUAGACUUUUUGCUCGUGAGUUUGGCGAGUUUGGACUUGGGGCUGUAAUUGGUAUAGAUGCCUUGGUUCUGUCAAGCAGCCUAGCAGGCUAGAAGGCACCGGUUCACACUUUCAGGAGAACGAGCCCGGAAACAUGGAGCCUGCCCAAAAAACACUGUUCAUAGUUGCUGGGCAGGGUCGAGAUGCGAGAAGUCUUCCAGCCGUCUCAUACCGUAGUACUGCGCUUGCUG